Molecule: small RNA, 88 nt
Filed under: Procavia capensis (Cape rock hyrax)
Lineage: Eukaryota; Metazoa; Chordata; Mammalia; Hyracoidea; Procaviidae
Description: 7SK RNA (ENSPCAG00000020231.1)
Source: RNAcentral
AUGGGUGCAGAAGUAGCCAUGCUCCCUUUCUAGACUCUCCAAACAAGCCCUCAAGGCCCAUUUGCAGGAGAAUAUAUGACAGAUCAGC